Molecule: non-coding RNA, 318 nt
Organism: Cinara cedri
Lineage: Eukaryota; Metazoa; Arthropoda; Insecta; Hemiptera; Aphididae
Source: the annotation of a GenBank genome assembly
GAGGUCGCGCGUCGCGCACACGUCGCAUAACGACAAUACGACAUCGCCCGCGAUAUUAUUGUACGCUCGGUAUUAAUACACGGCGCGGCAUUCGUGUAUACACACACACAUCGUUUAUCGCGUUUGAUUUCUGUUUGUUUUCGUUUUUAUUGUUUUUUUCGUUCCGUUCCGCCGUCCGGAAACGUACGCGUACGCACGGCCGCCGAAACACGCGUAACGCCGCCGCGGUCAACCGUCAUCGCCGCAGCCUGCGACCGGCACCGCACGCCGUGCGCGUCAUCGACAACACCGUCACAGUACGACAUUAAUACACGUCGC